This 63-nucleotide transfer RNA is filed under the name Hydrometra greeni. RNAcentral describes it as "tRNA-Asp". Lineage: Eukaryota; Metazoa; Arthropoda; Insecta; Hemiptera; Hydrometridae. The record is from RNAcentral.
GAAAAAUUAGUUUAUCUAAAACAUUAAUUUGUCAAAUUAAAGAAAUUUUUUUAAUAUUUUUCU